CGAGGCCACAGCUCUGUUGCACCCGACUAAUGAAGCUGCAAGUUCAUUACUGUUACAAUCAGCAGCGAGCCGACCACUCAUCAGGACAGGAGGCUGCGGAGAGUCAUUCAUCAGCAUGGAGUGUUCUUCAUGGAUGACCCCUAAAUCAUUGCUGGAGUAGUAGAUGCACUGAUUGGACACAGCAUGGGGGAGCAGCGCUACUUUGCAUUAGCACAGCCAGACGAGAGAGAGGCAAGUCAUGGGCAAAUCCUGCACACAGCACAAAUAAAGCAGCAGCUCCAUAUACUGUAUAUAUGUGUGUGUGUGUGUGUGUAGUGGGCGCAGAGGUUUUCCUCUCUGUCGCAGAAGGACGGAUGAAAGUAUCUUUCCUGCUGGGGAGGAUUAUAAAUAUGCAGCCUGCUGCUGCUACUGGGCGCAGUGUUUAGAGGACGCUGGACUCCCCCCUCACUCUGUGCCGGGGUGGAGCGUGCCAAGCUGUGGGUAGAGGCGGCAGCUGCUUCACGUGUGUGCCUGCUUUAGCAGCUCUCAGCCCGGACAGCCGUUUUCUCUCUCUCCACCAGCACCAACCCAGGGAGGGAUGUGACAGGGAAAGCGGAGACCGGGAGACAAAUUGCGCCGCGCUGUCAUUCUUCUCUAUCCGGGAUAAGUGGCUGCUUCCAACGGGAGGCACAAGUUGCAGCUCAGACCUCCCCUUCCACUUGUUUGUACUUGGUACGGGCUGCAGGGUGCGUGAUGCUUCCCAUGGUGGGAUACCGGGAGAGGGAGCUACACAGGGACACAAAGCUCAUCUGCUCCUGCACGUCCUGGAAACUGAGAUUCACUUGUCUGAAGAGCUUCUGAACCAAGAAGUGAUUUCCUUUCCACGGCUGUAGAAAUCUUCCAGAACAAAUAACCAGUAUCAAAGGUAAGAAACCACACUAUCAAGCUUCAUGUUGGUCAGCUUCCAGGAACAGUCAGGGUUGUUCAUGAGCACUUGGAGCUAUACAUGUAUUUUAUCAGCAGCUAGAAAGAUGCAGAUUAGACAUCCUAGAUUUAGUGAGAAAAUAAAUAAAUGUGUGUUGCAGGCUAUAUCUACUUCAAUUUUGUACCCAAUUUAUAUAAUUUUCAGCU
Long non-coding RNA from Xenopus laevis (African clawed frog), 1110 nucleotides. RefSeq lists it as uncharacterized. NCBI's taxonomy places the organism in Eukaryota, Metazoa, Chordata, Amphibia, Anura, Pipidae. The transcript has 3 exons. The record is from RefSeq and is a predicted model, not a curated record.